GACGAACGCUGGCGGCGUGCCUAACACAUGCAAGUCGAACGGAGCUUAUUUAUUCGAUCCCUUCGGGGUGACGAUUUUUAAGCUUAGUGGCGGACGGGUGAGUAACGCGUGAGUAACCUGCCUUACAGAGGGGGACAACAGUUGGAAACGACUGCUAAUACCGCAUGACAUAUUUUGAGGGCAUCCUCGGAAUAUCAAAGGAGCAAUCCGCUGUAAGAUGGACUCGCGUCCAAUUAGAUAGUUGGUGGGGUAACGGCCCGACCAAGUCGACGAUUGGUAGCCGGACUGAGAGGUUGAACGGCCACAUUGGGACUGAGACACGGCCCAGACUCCUACGGGAGGCAGCAGUGGGGGAUAUUGCACAAUGGAGGAAACUCUGACCCAGCAACGCCGCGUGAAGGAAGAAGGCC
Molecule: ribosomal RNA, 410 nt
Filed under: uncultured bacterium
Lineage: Bacteria
Description: bacterial SSU rRNA
Rfam family: Bacterial small subunit ribosomal RNA
Source: RNAcentral